RNAcentral lists this long non-coding RNA (417 nucleotides) under Glycine max (soybean). RNAcentral's name for it is "long non-coding RNA (GMAX_LNC001765)". Lineage: Eukaryota; Viridiplantae; Streptophyta; Magnoliopsida; Fabales; Fabaceae. The record is from RNAcentral.
UUGGAGGCUUCAAGAUCCGCGGCUUUCUGAAGAAGACUAUUGGGAUCGUCCUCGAGGACCAUCCUUAUGGGGAACGAUCCGAGGCCGUCGGCGAUGGCGAGCAUGAUCUUCCUCAUCUCGUCGCGGAACUCGCGGCGGUCGACGGCGCCGCUCCGGUCGCCGUCGAACUUGUCGAAGAUGGAGUCGUAGAGCUUCGCGAGCUGCUCCGGCGGCGUGGAAACGUCGAUGCCGAAGUGCGUCUCGAUGAGGCGCAUGGACUCGAAGGCCGUGCGGAGCUCCGAGCGCGAGAGGACGCCGUCGUUGUUGAGGUCCAGCGCCGAGAACUGCUCGUCCACGCUCUUGGUGAAGGCGGUUUCGUCGUUCACGAAGUCGCGCACGGUGCUGCCGUCGAUCACCACGACGCCCAUUCUGUUUUGU